This 457-nucleotide ribosomal RNA is filed under the name uncultured bacterium. RNAcentral describes it as "partial 16S ribosomal RNA". It matches the Rfam family "Bacterial small subunit ribosomal RNA", at positions 338 to 795 of the family's 1533-position model. The record is from RNAcentral.
CCUACGGGAGGCAGCAGUGGGGAAUAUUGCACAAUGGGGGGAACCCUGAUGCAGCGACGCCGCGUGGGUGAAGGAGCACCUCGGUGCGUAAAGCCCUAUCGGCAGGGAAGAAAGGCGGGCGGGGCCCGUCUGGACGGUACCUGACUAAGAAGCCCCGGCUAACUACGUGCCAGCAGCCGCGGUAAUACGUAGGGGGCAAGCGUUAUCCGGAUUCACUGGGUGUAAAGGGAGCGUAGACGGCGACGCAAGUCUGGAGUGAAAGCCCGGGGCCCAACCCCGGGACUGCUCUGGAUACUGCGGCGCUGGAGGACGGGAGGGGCAGGCGGAAUUCCAGGUGUAGCGGUGAAAGGCAUAGAUAUCAGGAGGAACACCGGCGGCGAAGGCGGCCUGCUGGACCGUGACUGACGUUGAGGCGCGAGAGCGUGGGGAGCAAACAGGAUUAGAUACCCCUGUAGUC